GGCAGACGUGGUGAGUAACGCGUGGGAACGUACCUUUUGGUUCGGAACAACACAGGAAACUUGUGCUAAUACCGGAUAAGCCCUUACGGGGAAAGAUUUAUCGCCGAAAGAUCGGCCCGCGUCUGAUUAGCUAGUUGGUGAGGUAACGGCUCACCAAGGCGACGAUCAGUAGCUGGUCUGAGAGGAUGAUCAGCCACAUUGGGACUGAGACACGGCCCAGACUCCUACGGGAGGCAGCAGUGGGGAAUAUUGCGCAAUGGGCGAAAGCCUGACGCAGCGACGCCGCGUGGGGGAUGAAGGCCUUCGGGUUGUAAACCCCCUUCAGCAGGGAACGAAGCGAGAGUGACGGUACCUGCAGAAGAAGCGCCGGCUAACUACGUGCCAGCAGCCGCGG
RNAcentral lists this ribosomal RNA (394 nucleotides) under uncultured bacterium. Its description in RNAcentral is "bacterial SSU rRNA". It matches the Rfam family "Bacterial small subunit ribosomal RNA", at positions 97 to 520 of the family's 1533-position model. The record is from RNAcentral.